RNAcentral lists this ribosomal RNA (506 nucleotides) under uncultured bacterium. RNAcentral describes it as "partial 16S ribosomal RNA". It matches the Rfam family "Bacterial small subunit ribosomal RNA", at positions 30 to 523 of the family's 1533-position model. The record is from RNAcentral.
AUUGAACGCUGGCGGCAGGCCUAACACAUGCAAGUCGAACGGCAGCACAGGAGAGCUUGCUCUUUGGGUGGCGAGUGGCGGACGGGUGAGUAAUGUCUGGGAAACUGCCCGAUGGAGGGGGAUAACUACUGGAAACGGUAGCUAAUACCGCAUAACGUCGCGAGACCAAAGUGGGGGACCUUCGGGCCUCACACCAUCGGAUGUGCCCAGAUGGGAUUAGCUAGUAGGUGGGGUAAUGGCUCACCUAGGCGACGAUCCCUAGCUGGUCUGAGAUGAUGACCAGCCACACUGGAACUGGGACACGGUCCAGACUCCUACGGGAGGCAGCAGUGGGGAAUAUUGCACAAUGGGCGCAAGCCUGAUGCAGCCAUGCCGCGUGUAUGAAGAAGGCCUUCGGGUUGUAAAGUACUUUCAGCGGGGAGGAAGGCGGUGAGGUUAAUAACCUCGCCGAUUGACGUUACCCGCAGAAGAAGCACCGGCUAACUCCGUGCCAGCCGCCGCAGUAA